UACAGAGGUCUCAAGCGUUGUCCGGAAUCAUUGGGCGUAAAGCGCGCGUAGGCGGCCCGGUAAGUCCGCUGUGAAAGUCCAGGGCUCAACCCUGGAAAGCCGGUGGAUACUGCCGGGCUAGAGUCCGGAAGAGGCGAGUGGAAUUCCUGGUGUAGCGGUGGAAUGCGCAGAUAUCAGGAGGAACACCAAUAGCGAAGGCAGCUCGCUGGGACGGUACUGACGCUGAGGUGCGAAAGCGUGGGGAGCAAACAGG
RNAcentral lists this ribosomal RNA (253 nucleotides) under uncultured bacterium. RNAcentral describes it as "partial 16S ribosomal RNA". It matches the Rfam family "Bacterial small subunit ribosomal RNA", at positions 524 to 776 of the family's 1533-position model. The record is from RNAcentral.